Molecule: long non-coding RNA, 914 nt
Organism: Rattus norvegicus (Norway rat)
Lineage: Eukaryota; Metazoa; Chordata; Mammalia; Rodentia; Muridae
Source: RefSeq, a predicted model, not a curated record
UGGAAAAGGUCUACCAAUCUGCCGGUGUUUGUGCGGAAAUUGCACCUGAAGUCUGGUAGCAGGGAAAGUAGAACUGUGUGGUUGAUGAGGGCCUGUCUAGGCCGGAAAAGCUGGCACAAUGUGGUGAACCACGGAGGGCAGCGGCUCGCUGAGAAGUCUCCUUGUGAGCCAGAUGAAGCAGUAACUCACACGGUAGAAGUCCUUAGCCUCACAGCAGCCAGAAGGUGGCAGUGGAGGCCUAGAAGACCCGGCGAUGGAUACAGCAGUGGAUCUAACAGCGGGACCAGUGACCAGAGCAGGACGAGCUGUGAGGUCCUGAGUUCAAUUCCCAGCAACCACAUGGUGGCUCACAUCCAUCUGUAAUGAGAUCCGAUGCCCUCUUCUGGUGGGUCUGAAGACAGCUACAGAACUCAUAUACAUACAGGAUGGAUCUGCACACCCACAGGACAGCUCAUCAAGUACACACGGCUGAUGGUUUGUUGGCUCCGAGUUACCCUCAAGGCUAAUCACCCACACACUGACUGGGGAAAUUCGGGACUCGUGCCCCUGGAGCAUGCAAACCAUUCCCUGGCUACACAGAGCAAAGGUAAUGAAGGAAAAGUGCAGUCUGAGACAAGGCAACCACACGGCCAGAGGGCAAGAAUGACUACGAUUGACUGACUACCUUUGCUCCCCAUCCCUAUAUACCGUGAUGGCUGAAGAGGAAGAGGAAGGCUGUUGAGGAUGCCCAUCCACUGAGCUCUCAUAAUGUCAACUCUCUGACUAAUUCAUACUUUAAAGAAUCAAUUCCUGUCUCUGCCUCUCACAGUCCCUGAGUGACAAGUUGCAAGGGCUCUGGUGCCUCAGUCUUUUUCUUCCUCUCUCUAAGGCUGCACUCUUGGCUGGACCUUUAGUAAAUGCAUGGGUCUCCAGUG